AUUGAUAUGAGACCAUUCUAUAAUUCUUGAAUUGAAUCAGUUAUAUUAAUUUAGAAUAGAUGAUGCCAUGUGAUAAAUGAGAGUUCAUUCGGAAGACAGCGCUUCUUGUUCUAUAAUUUGUAAUUUCCAUUUUGCUGAAUGGGAGGACAUGAAAUGUAAGUUAAUCCUUAAACUAAAUAAAAUAGCCAAAAUAAUAAUAAUAAAACAAAAAAGGAGAAAUAAAAAUAAAUUAUGGGAAAAGUCAAAGCUAAAUUUUCACAGUUCUUCUAAAUAUUUUCAAUAAAAAUCAGUCCAGCUGAAGUGAUGUAAUAAUUUUCAGUCAUUUUCUUUGUGUGAAAAAUAUUAUUAAAAUAUGAUUAAAAAAAAUAACAACAAAGUUGGUUAUUCUUGAAAUUUUGAUGCUACUAAUUUGCAUAAUAGUGGACAGUUAUAAGCUUUUCAUGGAUGAAUCAUUCGAUAUAUUAAAGGAUGGGGAUUAAUGAGCCAGAUUCAAAUCUGUUAUGAAAAAAGAGACAUAGGACUUAGCACCUAAAUUGAAUAUUAAGUUUUUAGUUUUCAAACGUAUCUGUAUUUGAAAAACUUCAUUGAAAAAAUAUGCUGAAAAUAAGCAAUAGGUUCAAAAUAGCUUUAAAUAAGAAAUAGGUGAAAAAUUAGAUGAUCAAAACCUAGAUUAAAUUAAUGAGAAAUUAAUGUUUAUUAAUCAAAGAUUGGGAAGAAAUUAUUCUGAUCAUCAACAUUGAUGCAUGUUAUACAUUACAUUAUAAAUUCAUCAUGUGUUAUCCUGUUGUCAUAAAUUAAAUUUGAAGAUGGGAUGUUGAGUUAUUAGCUUUAUACAUCUUUCUAUCUUUAUUAGGUGUAAAUCAAUAGAGUCAGUGCAAAAUAUACUCUGAGCCACCAUAUCCAUUGUUGAAUUGGCUAGUAUAUGAAAAAAAAGAAUUGAUAGGUCAACUGAGAUCUCCUAAAGAUGCAGGAUCUACAAUCUCCUUGAUGUGACAUUAUCACCUGUUGGAUAACUGCAUGUUAGAAAGUAUUGCUAUACAUCUAGAGAAGCAUUGGACAGACUAUAAAUUGUGCAGUUAUUGGAACUGUUUUAUGUGGCCUUUGUAAGUAAUUGCUAUAAUGCCCAAAAUUUUACCAAUAAAUAAAAUGCAUAGUAGAAAAUA
This 1163-nucleotide long non-coding RNA is filed under the name Androctonus crassicauda. The record is from RNAcentral. Lineage: Eukaryota; Metazoa; Arthropoda; Arachnida; Scorpiones; Buthidae.